AUGGCUCAAUGGUAAGAGCACUGGCUGCUCUUCUAGAGGUCCUGGGUUCAAUUCCCAGU
Molecule: transfer RNA, 59 nt
Filed under: Mus musculus (house mouse)
Lineage: Eukaryota; Metazoa; Chordata; Mammalia; Rodentia; Muridae
Also listed under: 1 other name
Rfam family: tRNA
About the family: Transfer RNA (tRNA) molecules are approximately 80 nucleotides in length.
Source: Rfam by way of RNAcentral